Labrus bergylta (ballan wrasse) is the source of this 903-nucleotide non-coding RNA. The record is from RefSeq and is a predicted model, not a curated record. NCBI's taxonomy places the organism in Eukaryota, Metazoa, Chordata, Actinopteri, Labriformes, Labridae.
ACCACCAACAACAACAACAACAACAACAGGUCAACACGGUGAUUGUACAGGUUCUUCUGAUCUGGACUUGGUCAUGUUGGCUCUGCGUGUGGCUGAACUCCUCCUGAUUACUGUGAUCACUGUUCUUCUCUUCAGAGCUCGAGGGAACCAGAGACCACCUGAUGACAUCACUGUGUAUUAUGAUGGAGAUGAAGGCUCAGUGAACUAUGAAAAUGUUGGAGAACCUUCUGCUUCUGUCAGACUCCACUGAUCAACAACUUCCACACAAACAUCCACUCAGCAGAUACAUUAAUCCACCGCUUUUAAUCAUUUCUAUAUUGUACUUUUGAGCAUAAAAACAUGGAUCCACAUUUUAUUUGAGGUACUAAGUGAGGAUUUGAUAAAUGUGCUGAUGUGGAAUAUGAAGUUGAUAUUUGUUACGGCCUCCUGAACCAAAAUUAUUAAACCAAGGCUCAAAACUCUGAGACCGAAAACAUACAAGGACGCCACAAAGAUUUAAAGUUCAACCCUAGCUUUAUUUAUUGUAAAUACCCCACUCCCCCCAAAGUAAUCAAAGAUAGAUAAGAAACAAAAGGGGCUGGAGACCCGGAAGAAAAAAAACAAAAGAUGGGAAGAUGCUGAGCCAACCACGUAAUGUGCCGUCAUUAUGGUACCUCCCCCUAAAACUACCUAAGAAGAAAAGAUUAAACUAAAGAAACCAAAAGACCCAAAAUAGGACUAACAGUGAUCUCCAGUCAAAACUCAAAUAAUAAAACCCAACAAUGUUAACAUAUGUGGGGAAAACCAGUAAAACUGGGAAACAAAAGCUCCUCACCACAUCGCUGCCCAGAGUGUGUGCGCCCCUGACUCUCCUACCUGGCUCCUCUAAAUACCCCUCCUCUUCCUCUCCCCCCCUCCUCCUCC